Molecule: ribosomal RNA, 279 nt
Filed under: uncultured bacterium
Lineage: Bacteria
Description: partial 16S ribosomal RNA
Rfam family: Bacterial small subunit ribosomal RNA
Source: RNAcentral
UGCCAGCAGCCGCGGUAAGACGGAGGGUGCUAGCGUUAUUCGGAAUGACUGGGCGUAGAGGGCGUGUAGGCGGUUAUAUAAGUUAGACGUGAAAGCCCCGGGCUUAACCUGGGAACAGCGUUUAAUACUGUAUGACUAGAGACCGAGAGAGGAAAGCGGAAUUCCUAGUGUAGAGGUGAAAUUCGUAGAUAUUAGGAGGAACACCAGAGGCGAAGGCGGCUUUCUGGCUCGAUACUGACGCUGAGGUGCGAAAGCGUGGGGAGCAAACAGGAUUAGAUA